UUUGAGGGGAAUGUUGUUUGGCUCGAGGCCACCAAUUAAUUGAUCCAAUGUGUGAACAAGUCUUGAUGGAUUAUUAUGUGUUAGUGUCGUCGGACCAGGCUUCAUUCCCCCCAAA
This 115-nucleotide microRNA precursor is filed under the name Capsicum annuum. RNAcentral describes it as "mir-166 microRNA precursor family". It matches the Rfam family "mir-166 microRNA precursor family". From Rfam's summary of the family: This family represents the plant microRNA (miRNA) precursor mir-166. Animal miRNAs are transcribed as ~70nt precursors and subsequently processed by the Dicer enzyme to give a ~22nt product. In plants the precursor sequences may be longer, and the carpel factory (caf) enzyme appears to be involved in processing. The record is from Rfam by way of RNAcentral. Lineage: Eukaryota; Viridiplantae; Streptophyta; Magnoliopsida; Solanales; Solanaceae.